Molecule: long non-coding RNA, 115 nt
Filed under: Anolis carolinensis (green anole)
Lineage: Eukaryota; Metazoa; Chordata; Lepidosauria; Squamata; Anolidae
Description: lncRNA (ENSACAG00000039451.1)
Source: RNAcentral
AAACCCCAUACCAUUUUCAGUGUCCUGAUUUUGGUGCCCCCCACCCCGAUCCAUUUUUCAGAUAUUCCAGUGGAUUUUUUUUCUGUGAACCCAUGGGAAAUUUGGGUUUUAAGGA